ACGCUAGCGGCAGGCUUAACACAUGCAAGUAGAACGGUAACAGUCCUUCGGGAGCUGACGAGUUGCGAACGGGUGCGUAACGCGUAUGCAACCUACCUAUAACUGAGGGAUAGCCCAUAGAAAUGUGGAUUAAUACCUCAUAACAACUAAAGAUGGCAUCAUCUUAAGUUUAAAACUCCGGUGGUUAUAGAUGGGCAUGCGUGACAUUAGCUAGUUGGUGAGGUAACUGCUCACCAAGGCAACGAUGUCUAGGGGUUCUGAGAGGAUGAUCCCCCACACUGGUACUGAGACACGGACCAGACUCCUACGGGAGGCAGCAGUGAGGAAUAUUACGCAAUGGAGGAAACUCUGACGCAGCCAUGCCGCGUGCAGGAUGACUGCCCUAUGGGUUGUAAACUGCUUUUAUAUAGGAAGAACUACAGAUACGUGUAUUUGUUUGACGGUACUGUAAGAAUAAGGAUCGG
This 464-nucleotide ribosomal RNA is filed under the name uncultured bacterium. RNAcentral describes it as "bacterial SSU rRNA". It matches the Rfam family "Bacterial small subunit ribosomal RNA", at positions 33 to 496 of the family's 1533-position model. The record is from RNAcentral.